UACGAAGGGGGCUAGCGUUGCUCGGAAUCACUGGGCGUAAAGCGCACGUAGGCGGCUUUCUAAGUCAGGGGUGAAAUCCUGGAGCUCAACUCCAGAGCUGCCUUUGAUACUGGAGAGCUUGAGUCCGGAAGAGGUGAGUGGAACUCCGAGUGUAGAGGUGAAAUUCGUAGAUAUUCGGAAGAACACCAGUGGCGAAGGCGGCUCACUGGUCCGGUACUGACGCUGAGGUGCGAAAGCGUGGGGAGCAAACAGG
RNAcentral lists this ribosomal RNA (253 nucleotides) under uncultured bacterium. RNAcentral's name for it is "partial 16S ribosomal RNA". It matches the Rfam family "Bacterial small subunit ribosomal RNA", at positions 524 to 776 of the family's 1533-position model. The record is from RNAcentral.